UUUGGAGGGCAAGUCUGGUGCCAGCAGCCGCGGUAAUUCCAGCUCCAAUAGCGUAUAUUAAAGUUGUUGCAGUUAAAAAGCUCGUAGUUGAAUUUCGGGGUUAGUAGGUUGGUUAUGCCUCUGGUAUGUACUGGUCUCACUGAUUCCUCCUUCCUUAUGAACCGUAAUGCCAUUAAUCUGGUGUUGCGGGGAAUUUGGACUGUUACUUUGAAAAAAUUAAAGUGUUUAAAGCAGGCUAACGCUUGAAUACAUUAGCAUGGAAUAAUGAAAUAGGACGUUCGAUCUUAUUUUGUUGGUUUCUAGGAUUGACGUAAUGAUUAAUAGGGAUAGUUGGGGGCAUUAGUAUUCAAUUGUCAGAGGUGAAAUUCUUGGAUUUAUUGAAGACUAACUACUGCGAAAGCAUUUGCCAAGGAUGUUUUCAUUAAUCAAGAACGAAAGUUAGGGGAUCGAAGACGAUCAGAUACCGUCGUAGUCUUAACCAUAAACUAUGCCGACUAGGGAUCGGAUGAUGUUAAUUUUUUAAUGACUCAUUCGGCGCCUUACGGGAAAC
RNAcentral lists this ribosomal RNA (550 nucleotides) under Rhizophagus irregularis. RNAcentral describes it as "SSU rRNA". It matches the Rfam family "Eukaryotic small subunit ribosomal RNA", at positions 547 to 1098 of the family's 1831-position model. The record is from RNAcentral. Lineage: Eukaryota; Fungi; Glomeromycota; Glomeromycetes; Glomerales; Glomeraceae.